Molecule: ribosomal RNA, 743 nt
Filed under: uncultured bacterium
Lineage: Bacteria
Description: bacterial SSU rRNA
Rfam family: Bacterial small subunit ribosomal RNA
Source: RNAcentral
GCUGGCGGCGUGCCUAAUACAUGCAAGUCGAGCGAACGGACGAGAAGCUUGCUUCUCUGAUGUUAGCGGCGGACGGGUGAGUAACACGUGGAUAACCUACCUAUAAGACUGGGAUAACUUCGGGAAACCGGAGCUAAUACCAGAUAAUAUUUUGAACCGCAUGGUUCAAAAGUGAAAGACGGUCUUGCUGUCACUUAUAGAUGGAUCCGCGCUGCAUUAGCUAGUUGGUAAGGUAACGGCUUACCAAGGCAACGAUGCAUAGCCGACCUGAGAGGGUGAUCGGCCACACUGGAACUGAGACACGGUCCAGACUCCUACGGGAGGCAGCAGUAGGGAAUCUUCCGCAAUGGGCGAAAGCCUGACGGAGCAACGCCGCGUGAGUGAUGAAAGUCUUCGGAUCGUAAAACUCUGUUAUUAGGGAAGAACAUAUGUGUAAGUAACUGUGCACAUCUUGACGGUACCUAAUCAGAAAGCCACGGCUAACUACGUGCCAGCAGCCGCGGUAAUACGUAGGUGGCAAGCGUUAUCCGGAAUUAUUGGGCGUAAAGCGCGCGUAGGCGGUUUUUUAAGUCUGAUGUGAAAGCCCACGGCUCAACCGUGGAGGGUCAUUGGAAACUGGAAAACUUGAGUGCAGAAGAGGAAAGUGGAAUUCCAUGUGUAGCGGUGAAAUGCGCAGAGAUAUGGAGGGACACCAGUGGCGAAGGCGACUUUCUGGUCUGUAACUGACGCUGAUGUGCGAAAGC